RNAcentral lists this transfer-messenger RNA (364 nucleotides) under Thiohalophilus sp. It matches the Rfam family "transfer-messenger RNA". Rfam says of the family: Bacterial tmRNA, also known as 10Sa RNA or SsrA, is named for its dual tRNA and mRNA-like properties. Its role is to liberate the mRNA from a stalled ribosome. To accomplish this part of the tmRNA is used as a reading frame that ends in a translation stop signal. The record is from RNAcentral. Lineage: Bacteria; Pseudomonadati; Pseudomonadota; Gammaproteobacteria; Thiohalomonadales; Thiohalophilaceae.
GGGGGCGACCUGGCUUCGACGCGGGUUGCGAAACCGGAGGUGCAUGCCGAGGAUGCAGGUUUCCUCGUAAAUCCAUCUGCAAAUCUAUAGUUGCCAACGACGACAACUACGCACUCGCCGCUUAAAACCCGGUAGGGUGCCCUCUGACUGAAGCCGUGCCUGUGCGUUCAGAUUCCAGGGGUCAUAUCUCACAGGAUCGCGUCAAAGCUCGUCCGGGGCUGCGACGUUAAAACCUAACCGGAAUCGCCGUCAGUUGGCCCUGCCCGUCGGGUUGCUGCCGGUUAAAACAAUAGACGCGGAUAAGCAUGUAGAGCCAAUGGCAGAGGACUUGCGGACGCGGGUUCGAUUCCCGCCGCCUCCACCA